UGGCUGGCAAGUGCCAUUGCAGGAACUGGAUGAGGGACCACCUCCCCAUCAAAAGGACAAGAAAAAAAGGUGUUGAGACCCCAUGAAGAACUCAGGCCCUGUCAAACACCUCUCCUGUUGCUUUCAGUAGCCGUAACAACGCUCCUUCUCCCUGUUCAGCACAUGGGUACACGGAAGCUGAGAGGGGGCUCCGUCUCAGACUUCCUCACCACUCUGGGUCCCAGCCAGAUUACCACUGCACCAAGGAGGAAGCCUUGGGAGUUCCUAGGCAUCCCCCUGUAA
Molecule: long non-coding RNA, 282 nt
Filed under: Mus spicilegus (steppe mouse)
Lineage: Eukaryota; Metazoa; Chordata; Mammalia; Rodentia; Muridae
Description: lncRNA (ENSMSIG00000025520.1)
Source: RNAcentral